Suncus etruscus (white-toothed pygmy shrew) is the source of this 133-nucleotide small nucleolar RNA. RefSeq annotates it as small nucleolar RNA SNORA72. The transcript has a single exon. Lineage: Eukaryota; Metazoa; Chordata; Mammalia; Eulipotyphla; Soricidae. The record is from RefSeq and is a predicted model, not a curated record.
CUGAGAAUAUUCUCAUUUUUAUUUUUUAGUAAUCAGAACAAGCUAAGUAUUCAUGAUAAUAAGUUCAUGCUUGUGUCUCCAGACCUCCUUCUUUUCCUUACUAGGUCUGGUUUUAUAAAUGCUAGUGAUAUAU